RNAcentral lists this ribosomal RNA (1336 nucleotides) under Delias hyparete (painted jezebel). Its description in RNAcentral is "16S ribosomal RNA". The stretch from base 1084 to 1242 matches the Rfam family "Eukaryotic large subunit ribosomal RNA", at positions 2825 to 2984 of the family's 3401-position model. The record is from RNAcentral. Lineage: Eukaryota; Metazoa; Arthropoda; Insecta; Lepidoptera; Pieridae.
UAAAGUAAAAAUUAAUAAUAAAAUAAAUAUGAAAAAUAUUUUUAAUAGAAUAUGUUUAGUGAAGUUAAAGUAUUUUAAAUAAAAAAAAUUAAAAAAUUUAUAGUAAAAUAGUAUUGUAAAAGAAAUUUGAAAAAUAAUAAAAAAAAGUUAUGGGAAAGUAAAUUUAAUUUAUUGUAUCUUGUGUAUCAGAGUUUAUUAAAAAAAAAUUUUGGUAAAAAUUAUUUCGAAUUUAAAAGAGCUAAUCAAUUAAUAAAGUUAAUAUAAUAUAAUUAUUUUUAAUAGUUGAUUGGAGGUGAAAAGUUAAUCGUUUUUAAUAAUAUCUAAUUUUUUUGGAAAAAAAUUUAAUUUUAAAUUAAAUUUUAAUUUUUUUAUUAAUUAUUAAAUAAGAAAAUAAAUUAAUUAAAUAUUUUAAGGGAUAAGCUUUAAAUUAAAAUAUUAUAAUAAAUUUAUAUUAUAAUUGAAGUUUUUAAAAAUUAUAUUUUUUAAAAAUUAUAGUUUUUUAUAAAUAAUUUCAAUUAUUUAUAAUUUUAAUAUUUAUUUAAUUUUCUACAAAAAUAUAAUUUUUAAUUUAGUAAAAUUAGUAAUAAUGAUAAAAUUAGUAUAAAAUUAUAUGAAAUAAAAUAAUUAACAAAAAAAAAUUAAUUAGAAGGAAUUCGGCAAAAAUUUAUAUUCACUUGUUUAUCAAAAACAUGUCUUUUUGUUAAUAAUUUAAAGUCUAAUCUGCCCACUGAUAUAAAUUUUUUUUAACGGGCUGCCGGAUAUUGACUGUACAAAGGUAGCAUAAUCAAUAGUCUUUUAAUUGAAGACUUGUAUGAAUGAUUUGAUGAGAUAUAAACUGUCUUUUUUUUAAUUAUAGAAUUUAAUUUUUUAGUUAAAAAGCUAAAAUUUUUUUAAAAGACGAGAAGACCCUAUAGAGUUUAAUUUUUUGAUUUUUAUUAAUAUUUUAAAAAAAUUAUAAUUAAUAAAAAUUAAAAAAUUUUGUUGGGGUGAUAGAAAAAUUUAUAAAACUUUUUUUAAAAAAUUAACAUUGAUUUAUGAUUUAUUGAUCCAUAAAUUAUGAUUAAAAGGUUAAAUUACCUUAGGGAUAACAGCGUAAUUUUUUUUUUUAGUUCAAAUAAAAAUUAAAGUUUGCGACCUCGAUGUUGGAUUAAGAUAAAAUUUAAAUACAAAAGUUUAAAAUUUUGAUCUGUUCGAUCAUUAAAAUCUUACAUGAUCUGAGUUCAAACCGGUGUGAGCCAGGUUGGUUUCUAUCUUUAAAAAAAUAAAAUAAUUUAGUACGAAAGGAUCAAUUAUUUUGAAUAGUUUAAUGUUAAUUGAAUAUUAUUAAUUUCUUUUU